CCUACGGGAGGCAGCAGUGGGGAAUAUUGGACAAUGGGGGCAACCCUGAUCCAGCAAUACCGCGUGUGUGAAGAAGGCCUGAGGGUUGUAAAGCACUUUCAAUUGUGAAGAAAAGUUAGCGGUUAAUAACCGUUAGCCUUGACGUUAACUUUAGAAGAAGCACCGGCUAACUCCGUGCCAGCAGCCGCGGUUAUACGGAGGGUGCAAGCGUUAAUCGGAAUUACUGGGCGUAAAGCGUGCGUAGGCGGUUUAUUAAGUCAGAUGUGAAAGCCCCGGGCUUAACCUGGGAACUGCAUUAGAAACUGGUAAACUAGAGUAUGGUAGAGGAAAGUGGAAUUUCUGGUGUAGCGGUGAAAUGCGUAGAUAUCAGAAGGAACAUCAAUGGCGAAGGCAGCUUUCUGGACCAAUACUGACGCUGAGGUACGAAAGCGUGGGUAGCAAACAGGAUUAGAUACCCUGGUAGUCCACGCCGUAAACGAUGAUAACUAGCCGUUGGGGGGAUUUACCCUUUAGUGGCGAAGCUAACGCGUUAAGUUAUCCGCCUGGGGAGUACGGCCGCAAGGUUAAAACUCAAAGGAAUUGACGGA
This 587-nucleotide ribosomal RNA is filed under the name uncultured bacterium. Its description in RNAcentral is "bacterial SSU rRNA". It matches the Rfam family "Bacterial small subunit ribosomal RNA", at positions 338 to 917 of the family's 1533-position model. The record is from RNAcentral.